Molecule: ribosomal RNA, 924 nt
Filed under: uncultured archaeon
Lineage: Archaea
Description: bacterial SSU rRNA
Rfam family: Archaeal small subunit ribosomal RNA
Source: RNAcentral
UUUCCGGUUGAUCCUGCCGGAGGCCACUGCUAUGGGGGUCCGACUAAGCCAUGCGAGUCAUGGGGCGCCUUGCGCGCACCGGCGGACGGCUCAGUAACACGUCGGUAACCUACCCUCGGGAGGGGGAUAACCCCGGGAAACUGGGGCUAAUCCCCCAUAGGCCUGAGGUACUGGAAGGUCCUCAGGCCGAAAGGGCGUAUGCCGCCCGAAGAUGGGCCGGCGGCCGAUUAAGUAGUUGGUGGGGUAACGGCCCACCAAGCCGAAGAUCGGUACGGGCCAUGAGAGUGGGAGCCCGGAGAUGGACACUGAGACACGGGUCCAGGCCCUACGGGGCGCAGCAGGCGCGAAACCUCCGCAAUGCGGGCAACCGCGACGGGGGGACCCCCAGUGCCGUGGCAACGCCACGGCUUUUCCGGAGUGUAAAAAGCUCCGGGAAUAAGGGCUGGGCAAGGCCGGUGGCAGCCGCCGCGGUAAUACCGGCGGCCCGAGUGGUGGCCGCUAUUAUUGGGCCUAAAGCGUCCGUAGCCGGGCCCGUAAGUCCCUGGCGAAAUCCCACGGCUCAACCGUGGGGCUUGCUGGGGAUACUGCGGGCCUUGGGACCGGGAGAGGCCGGGGGUACCCCUGGGGUAGGGGUGAAAUCCUAUAAUCCCAGGGGGACCGCCAGUGGCGAAGGCGCCCCGCUGGAACGGGUCCGACGGUGAGGGACGAAGGCCAGGGGAGCGAACCGGAUUAGAUACCCGGGUAGUCCUGGCUGUAAAGGAUGCGGGCUAGGUGUCGGGCGAGCUUCGAGCUCGCCCGGUGCCGAAGGGAAGCCGUUAAGCCCGCCGCCUGGGGAGUACGGCCGCAAGGCUGAAACUUAAAGGAAUUGGCGGGGGAGCACUACAAGGGGUGGAGCGUGCGGUUUAAUUGGAUUCAACGCCGGAA